Molecule: ribosomal RNA, 449 nt
Filed under: uncultured bacterium
Lineage: Bacteria
Description: bacterial SSU rRNA
Rfam family: Bacterial small subunit ribosomal RNA
Source: RNAcentral
UGACCAGACUCCUACGGGAGGCAGCAGUGGGGGAUAUUGCACAAUGGGGGGAACCCUGAUGCAGCGACGCCGCGUGGGUGAAGAAGUAUUUCGGUAUGUAAAGCCCUAUCGGCAGGGAAGAAUUUAGACGGUACCUGACUAAGAAGCCCCGGCUAACUACGUGCCAGCAGCCGCGGGAAUACGUAGGGGGCAAGCGUUAUCCGGAUUUACUGGGUGGAAAGGGGGCGCAGACGGCAGCGCAAGCCAGGAGUGAAAGCCCGGGGCCCAACCCCGGGACUGCUCUUGGAACUGCGCGGCUGGAGUGCAGGAGGGGCAGGCGGAAUUCCUGGUGUAGCGGUGAAAUGCGUAGAUAUCAGGAGGAACACCGGUGGCGAAGGCGGCCUGCUGGACUGCGACUGACGUUGAGGCCUGAAAGCGUGGGGAGCAAACAGGAUUAGAUACCCUCGUAC